AUGCUCUCUCUGGCAGCACAUAUACUGAAAUUGAGAUGAUACAGAGAUUAGCAAGGCCUUGUGCCAGAAUGACUUGCAAAUUCCUGAAUCGUUCUGUAUUUGU
Rattus norvegicus (Norway rat) is the source of this 103-nucleotide small nuclear RNA. The record is from Ensembl. NCBI's taxonomy places the organism in Eukaryota, Metazoa, Chordata, Mammalia, Rodentia, Muridae.